CCUACGGGUGGCAGCAGUGAGGAAUAUUGGUCAAUGGACGAGAGUCUGAACCAGCCAAGUAGCGUGAAGGAUGACUGCCCUAUGGGUUGUAAACUUCUUUUAUAUGGGAAUAAAAUGUUCCACGUGUGGGCUUUUGUAUGUACCAUAUGAAUAAGGAUCGGCUAACUCCGUGCCAGCAGCCGCGGUAAUACGGAGGAUCCGAGCGUUAUCCGGAUUUAUUGGGUUUAAAGGGAGCGUAGGGGGAUUGUUAAGUCAGGUGUGAAAGUUUGCGGCUCAACCGUAAAAUUGCAGUUGAAACUGGCAGUCUUGAGUACAGGAGAGGUGGGCGGAAUGCGUGGUGUAGCGGUGAAAUGCUUAGAUAUCACGAAGAACUCCGAUUGCGAAGGCAGCUCACUGGACUGCAACUGACACUGAGGCACGAAAGUGUGGGUAUCAAACAGGAUUAGAUACCCGAGUAGUC
This 460-nucleotide ribosomal RNA is filed under the name uncultured bacterium. RNAcentral's name for it is "partial 16S ribosomal RNA". It matches the Rfam family "Bacterial small subunit ribosomal RNA", at positions 338 to 795 of the family's 1533-position model. The record is from RNAcentral.